This 1044-nucleotide ribosomal RNA is filed under the name uncultured Neocallimastigales. Its description in RNAcentral is "partial large subunit ribosomal RNA". The stretch from base 262 to 1044 matches the Rfam family "Eukaryotic large subunit ribosomal RNA", at positions 1 to 643 of the family's 3401-position model. The record is from RNAcentral. Lineage: Eukaryota; Fungi; Neocallimastigomycota; Neocallimastigomycetes; Neocallimastigales.
UAUGUGAUCGUCUCUCGCAUAUCAAUAAGCGGAGGAAAAGUCAACUACCUACGCUUAGGAUGUUGACGCGCGUGUGUGCGUGAUCUAUACAUGACUCUGCGCAUAUCAAUAAGCGGAGGAAAAGGAGUAUACCUACGCUUAGGAUGUUGACACACGCGCGUGCUCGGCUCUAUACAUGACUCUGCGCCAUAUCAAUAAGCGGAGGAAAAGACUGCGGAACUGAACGACCGCUACCUACGCUUAGGAUGUUGACGAGACUGUCGAUCUCAUCUAUACAUGACUCUGCGCAUAUCAAUAAGCGGAGGAAAAGAAACUAACAAGGAUUCCCCUAGUAGCGGCGAGUGAAGCGGGAAGAGCUUAAAUUUGAAAUCUUAAAGGGUUUCCCUUUACGAAUUGUAGUUUAAAGAAGUGUUUUCUGUUGAGGUUUUGGUAAAAGUUCUUUGGAAUAGGACAUCAUAGAGGGUGAGAAUCCCGUAUUUGACCUUUACUUUCAACUUUGUGAUACACUUUCAAAGAGUCGGAUUGUUUGGGAAUGCAGUCCAAAAUGGGUGGUAAAUUUCAUCUAAAGCUAAAUAUUGGCGAGAGACCGAUAGCGAACAAGUACCGUGAGGGAAAGAUGAAAAGAACUUUGAAAAGAGAGUUAAACAGUACGUGAAAUUGUCAAAAGGGAAGCGUUUGACACCAGUGUUGUUUUUCUGAAAAUCAAUUAAAGAACUGUUUAUGCUAAGCUGUUUAGACUUUAUCAGCUAUCUGUUUAGUUUUGAGCUUUUCUUUAAUGCACUUUUCAGUUAACAAGUCAACAUCAAUUUCUUUUGCUGUAAAAAAGCUUGAGGAAGGUGGCUUGAGAUUCGUCUUAAGUGUUUAUAGCCUCUUGCCUAUGCAGUCGGAGAGAUUGAGGUCUGCAGCGUAGAUCCUUCGGGGCUAAAUGCAUUUGUGCUAAGUUAUAGCAUUUUAUAGACAACUUGUUGACUAUGAUUUGUCUUGUAGCUUACUCGCUUAUGUUAUUUUACCUACGCUUAGGAUGUUGACACACGCGCGUGCUCG